AUUGCCCCAGUAACGGCGAGUGAAGCGGCAACAGCUCAAAUUUGAAAUCUGGCCCCUAGGGCCCGAGUUGUAAUUUGCAGAGGAUGCUUUUGGCGAGGUGCCUUCCGAGUUCCCUGGAACGGGACGCCAUAGAGGGUGAGAGCCCCGUCUGGUUGGACGCCGAGCCUCUGUAAAGCUCCUUCGACGAGUCGAGUAGUUUGGGAAUGCUGCUCUAAAUGGGAGGUAUAUGUCUUCUAAAGCUAAAUACCGGCCAGAGACCGAUAGCGCACAAGUAGAGUGAUCGAAAGAUGAAAAGCACUUUGAAAAGAGGGUUAAACAGUACGUGAAAUUGUUGAAAGGGAAGCGCUCAUGACCAGACUUGGACCCGGUGAAUCAUCCAGCGNUUCUCGCUGGUGCACUUUGCCGGGNCUCAGGCCAGCAUCAGUUUGCCCCGGGGGAUAAAGGCUUUGGGAAUGUGGCUCCCUCGGGAGUGUUAUAGCCCAUUGCACAAUACCCUGGGGCGGACUGAGGUUCGCGCAUCNUGCAAGGAUGCUGGCGUAAUGGUCAUCAGCGACCCGUCUUGAAACACGGACCAAGGAGUCGUCUUCGUAUGCGAGUGUUCGGGUGUAAAACCCCUACGCGUAAUGAAAGUGAACGCAGGUGAGAGCUUCGGCGCAUCAUCGACCGAUCCUGAUGUUCUCGGAUGGAUUUGAGUAAGAGCAUACGGGGCCGGACCCGAAAGAAGGUGAACUAUGCCUGUAUAGGGUGAAGCCAGAGGAAACUCUGGUGGAGGCUCGCAGCGGUUCUGACGUGCAAAUCGAUCGUCAAAUAUGGGCAUGGGGGCGAAAGACUAAUCGA
Molecule: ribosomal RNA, 837 nt
Filed under: Metarhizium viridulum
Lineage: Eukaryota; Fungi; Ascomycota; Sordariomycetes; Hypocreales; Clavicipitaceae
Description: partial 28S ribosomal RNA
Rfam family: Eukaryotic large subunit ribosomal RNA
Source: RNAcentral